GUUAUUUAUUUUGAGAGUUCAUAUCGACAAAAAAGUUUGCGACCUCGAUGUUGAAUUAAAAAUUCGCCAUGGCGUAGGAGUUGUGGAGGUAG
This 92-nucleotide ribosomal RNA is filed under the name Homarus americanus (American lobster). RNAcentral describes it as "partial 16S ribosomal RNA". RNAcentral also lists the same sequence under 2 other names. The record is from RNAcentral. Lineage: Eukaryota; Metazoa; Arthropoda; Malacostraca; Decapoda; Nephropidae.